AUUUCAAGAAUGUAAAAUAUGCUUUGCAUCAAAAUCCGUCUCUCAACUUGGCUAUUGAUUUUGUGAGUAUUAUCAAGCCGGAGACAUCAAGGAAUUUUUCAAAUGUCAACCGAGAACCGAAGAUUUAUAAAUGUUUAACGUGGAGACUGGUCUUUUCCUCGCUACGAUUGACUUUGAUUGAAUUUCGAAUCAAAUUUGUAAAUACAGAGAAAAAAAAACCUUCGGACCGGUUGGGCGGGUAGAUGGGAAUCGUUGCCUAAUGCGUAUAUGUCAUAUUAAUUAUCAUAUAAUAAAAUGGGUAGUAGCCGGUUUCGGAAGUCCCUGCUCGCCGAGAUAAAAAGGCCAUACAAUGAAUUAUAAGCCACUAUCAAUUGACAUAUCUCGGUCGGACGCACUUGGCGCUCGCUCCAGUUCCACGGUUCCUCGUAAACACAUCGUAGAAGAAUGGAAGGAAGCCAGCAACGCGUAUAAAUGAAAAACAAACGAUCGGAGCGGAGGAGAAAAAUGAACGUCCAGCUCCGCAGACGAAAAAACACAGCGAACUUAUCGGAACAUAAUUUUUCUUUCUCGUUGGGCACGAGCAACAGACACAAGACCUUCAGAAACGACUUUCAGUUAAUAAACACUUCGGUGCUGGUGCCGGACGAUCGCGCUCAUCGCUGUGGGGGCCGGCUUAUUAUACUUUACAACAUCGUAAACGUAAAAUGGACGCCAGCAAAGAAGGGCGAGCCACUCCACCUCGAUGCUUCAUUCCUUGGGUGGGAAAUAAUAAGUAGCUGUCGUGUGCGAUUGCACCCUCUCCUGGCCAUUGUCACGCCAUCAUGUUGUUCGUCUCCACCACACGCACGCCCGAUGACAAACCCCACGAAUUAUCUGCGCUCAUUACAGCGCCGCAGCGCCGAAAUUGAGUAAUGAGUAUAUUAAUGGCGGCACAGACGGUGCACAACGAACAGUAAACAGCCAACAGUCGGCAGUCGUCAUUCCAGACAAUAGCAGAUGAUGCACACGACAUGCAGGCGUGUUCAAAAGAGAAUUCUGUCGAUAUAAACAAAAUGUUUACAUGCGACGGCGUGGUGCUUGUGUGGAAAAGCAAAUAUUAUAUUAGCGCACACCGCGCACGAAUCUUCGUGUAAUUGGCGCAUUAUUCACGAUACGAAUGAAAUGAAACCGGCAAUUAUCCAUUAUUUAUUUUAAUUAAAGUCUGGACGCGUCUGUGCAGUCGCCGCUCGCCGUUAAGCCGUGCCACCGCCACCAAGGGGGAUUGCGGCCGCUGUGGUGCGGUUCGUUUCGGUGCCGCCACGCUCAUUGGGUGAAAUGUUGCUUAAUUGCUUAUGGAAUAUGAAUUAUAAGUCUAGACGUUGCACAGCUCGAUAUAAAAAGUGGAGUGGUCAUGUGAAUAAAACACAAGAGAUAAAAAAGAAAUUCAUACCCUAGUGUGUAGGUAUCUAUAUUAC
Long non-coding RNA from Dalotia coriaria, 1454 nucleotides. RefSeq lists it as uncharacterized. The transcript has 3 exons. The record is from RefSeq and is a predicted model, not a curated record. Lineage: Eukaryota; Metazoa; Arthropoda; Insecta; Coleoptera; Staphylinidae.